Suricata suricatta (meerkat) is the source of this 602-nucleotide long non-coding RNA. RefSeq lists it as uncharacterized. NCBI's taxonomy places the organism in Eukaryota, Metazoa, Chordata, Mammalia, Carnivora, Herpestidae. The transcript has 3 exons. The record is from RefSeq and is a predicted model, not a curated record.
UCCUGGGCGAUGGGUAAGGAAACCCGCCAGCCAGACUAACAGCAAAAGGGAGGAGACCACACACGCAGCGGAAGGGGGGGACACAGAGCCCACACCAGGCACCCCAGACGCCGCGGACCUGCACUGCUAAGACGAGUCCCUGACGUUUGGCUUUGAAAACCAGGCAGGCACAACAUCACAAGUUUUUACAGUCCGGGGACUAACACUGGGAACUUUAAAACUUGGCAGGCUGGGCUCUCAGACAGCCGGAGGGCACAGGAAACAGUCCCUGCCCAGACGGAGGCAAAAUCACAAACACCACCCAGGAAGCACCAGAGAGGAGGAGCAGUUGGAAGAGCUGGGGGGAGAAGAAGGGAGGUAAGGGAAGGAAGUUUAUUUACUACACUCAGAAUCUUUAGGAAACUUCUCCAAGAGGCAAAAUAUGACGUCAUACACAUAAAACAUGGGGAGGAGAAGGGAUAAAGGAAAGUGGAUCUAUGACAUGAGUGUGGAAUACAAUGGAAACUUACAAGACCAAGUUCUGUGGUGAAAACUUUCACUUGUGGGGCUCCAGGGGGGCUCAGUCAGGAGAGCACAAGUUGGGGAGAGGCGGAGAGAGUGGG